AACGAACGCUGGCGGCAUGCCUAACACAUGCAAGUCGAGCGAGACCUUCGGGUCUAGUGGCGCACGGGUGCGUAACGCGUGGGAACCUGCCCUUAGGUUCGGAAUAACUCCCCGAAAGGGGUGCUAAUACCGGAUAAUGUCUUCGGACCAAAGAUUUAUCGCCUUUGGAUGGGCCCGCGUUGGAUUAGCGAGUUGGUAGGGUAAAAGCCUACCAAGGCGACGAUCCAUAGCUGGUCUGAGAGGAUGAUCAGCCACACUGGGACUGAGACACGGCCCAGACUCCUACGGGAGGCAGCAGUGGGGAAUAUUGGACAAUGGGCGAAAGCCUGAUCCAGCAAUGCCGCGUGAGUGAUGAAGGCCUUAGGGUUGUAAAGCUCUUUUACCCGGGAUGAUAAUGACAGUACCGGGAGAAUAAGCUCCGGCUAACUCCGUG
RNAcentral lists this ribosomal RNA (433 nucleotides) under uncultured bacterium. RNAcentral's name for it is "partial 16S ribosomal RNA". It matches the Rfam family "Bacterial small subunit ribosomal RNA", at positions 29 to 507 of the family's 1533-position model. The record is from RNAcentral.